GCGUGCGGAGCUACCAUGCAGUCGAGCGGAACGAGUUAUCUGAACCUUCGGGGAACGAUAACGGCGUCGAGCGGCGGACGGGUGAGUAAUGCCUAGGAAAUUGCCCUGAUGUGGGGGAUAACCAUUGGAAACGAUGGCUAAUACCGCAUAAUGCCUACGGGCCAAAGAGGGGGACCUUCGGGCCUCUCGCGUCAGGAUAUGCCUAGGUGGGAUUAGCUAGUUGGUGAGGUAAGGGCUCACCAAGGCGACGAUCCCUAGCUGGUCUGAGAGGAUGAUCAGCCACACUGGAACUGAGACACGGUCCAGACUCCUACGGGAGGCAGCAGUGGGGAAUAUUGCACAAUGGGCGCAAGCCUGAUGCAGCCAUGCCGCGUGUGUGAAGAAGGCCUUCGGGUUGUAAAGCACUUUCAGUCGUGAGGAAGGUAGUGUAGUUAAUAGCUGCAUUAUUUGACGUUAGCGACAGAAGAAGCACCGGCUAACUCCGUGCCAGCAGCCGCGGUAAUACGGAGGGUGCGAGCGUUAAUCGGAAUUACUGGGCGUAAAGCGCAUGCAGGUGGUUUGUUAAGUCAGAUGUGAAAGCCCGGGGCUCAACCUCGGAAUUGCAUUUGAAACUGGCAGACUAGAGUACUGUAGAGGGGGGUAGAAUUUCAGGUGUAGCGGUGAAAUGCGUAGAGAUCUGAAGGAAUACCGGUGGCGAAGGCGGCCCCCUGGACAGAUACUGACACUCAGAUGCGAAAGCGUGGGGAGCAAACAGGAUUAGAUACCCUGGUAGUCCACGCCGUAAACGAUGUCUACUUGGAGGUUGUGGCCUUGAGCCGUGGCUUUCGGAGCUAACGCGUUAAGUAGACCGCCUGGGGAGUACGGUCGCAAGAUUAAAACUCAAAUGAAUUGACGGGGGCCCGCACAAGCGGUGGAGCAUGUGGUUUAAUUCGAUGCAACGCGAAGAACCUUACCUACUCUUGACAUCCAGAGAACUUUCCAGAGAUGGAUUGGUGCCUUCGGGAACUCUGAGACAGGUGCUGCAUGGCUGUCGUCAGCUCGUGUGUGAAUGUUGGGUUAAGUCCCGCAACGAGCGCAACCCUUAUCCUUGUUUGCAGCGAGUAUGUCGGGACUCAGGAGACUGCGGUGAUAACGGAGGAGGUGGGGGACGACGUCAAGUCAUCAUGGCCUUACGGGA
Molecule: ribosomal RNA, 1177 nt
Filed under: Vibrio sp.
Lineage: Bacteria; Pseudomonadati; Pseudomonadota; Gammaproteobacteria; Vibrionales; Vibrionaceae
Description: bacterial SSU rRNA
Rfam family: Bacterial small subunit ribosomal RNA
Source: RNAcentral